AGUGAACGCUGGCGGUAGGCCUAACACAUGCAAGUCGAACGGCAGCACAGUAAGAGCUUGCUCUUACGGGUGGCGAGUGGCGGACGGGUGAGGAAUACAUCGGAAUCUACUUUUUCGUGGGGGAUAACGUAGGGAAACUUACGCUAAUACCGCAUACGACCUACGGGUGAAAGCAGGGGAUCUUCGGACCUUGCGCGAUUGAAUGAGCCGAUGUCGGAUUAGCUAGUUGGCGGGGUAAAGGCCCACCAAGGCGACGAUCCGUAGCUGGUCUGAGAGGAUGAUCAGCCACACUGGAACUGAGACACGGUCCAGACUCCUACGGGAGGCAGCAGUGGGGAAUAUUGGACAAAGGGCGCAAGCCUGAUCCAGCCAUACCGCGUGGGUGAAGAAGGCCUUCGGGUUGUAAAGCCCUUUUGUUGGGAAAGAAAAGCAGCAGGUUAAUACCCCGCCGUUCUGACGGUACCCAAAGAAUAAGCACCGGCUAACUUCGUG
This 492-nucleotide ribosomal RNA is filed under the name uncultured bacterium. RNAcentral describes it as "partial 16S ribosomal RNA". It matches the Rfam family "Bacterial small subunit ribosomal RNA", at positions 29 to 507 of the family's 1533-position model. The record is from RNAcentral.